Long non-coding RNA from Talpa occidentalis (Iberian mole), 2528 nucleotides. RefSeq lists it as uncharacterized. The transcript has 8 exons. The record is from RefSeq and is a predicted model, not a curated record. NCBI's taxonomy places the organism in Eukaryota, Metazoa, Chordata, Mammalia, Eulipotyphla, Talpidae.
GACGCGAGGUUGGCCGCUGGGGCGCGCGGCUCUCCUACCCGCAGGUAUUCCUUGGCUACCGUGGAUAGUGACUGCGCUCUUCUGCCUGAGAGUGGUUCAAACUGCCACUGGACCAGGAAUCACAAUUUUAAACCCAGUCCAUUGCUCGUCUGGCCUUCCUUCCCCCAAAUGAGCACCUCCCUGGGCCUCAGAGUCUGCGCCUGAAGUUGAGGUGUUUCAGAAAGAAGGAGACUGGAUGGCCCAUUUUGUGUCCAGAGCAAGGAUGAAGAGGCCAGUGAUAUCGCUACAGAGGAACACCCUUGACCCAGGAACCUGACAGAAGAAAUGACAUCACACCAAAGACCUCUAACGUGGCCUUGUGGCCUGGAGAGCACAGCUCCAAGUUCAAGCCACCGCUCUGCAGCCACUUUCUAGCUGCAACUUGGGUCUGGCUGGGACCCAGGUGAGCAAGCAAGACGCCCAGGACUCCAACUUUCAGAAGGCAUUCACCACCUGGCUCACAGGAAAGUGGAGUCCAGACCCGUGAGUUAGUUCCCGGCCCCCCUUGGCCCCUCCCUGCUGAAAGUGACCAUGAAAACCAGGUAAGAUAUACCCAGUGACAAUAUGACGCCCUCAAAGAUGCAGACACUAGUGCACAGCCAGGUGUGGGGAGGUAGAGCCAACAAACCUGGGGAGGCGAGGGGGCAAGGAGCCAGUGAAGGUUGUACUGUCCACCAGGUAACUGCUGGGAUAAGUGGGGGUUUCUGCCAACUGAUUUGGGGUGUGAGAUCCAGGUGUUUGUCCACCAACUCCCCUGGAGUGCUGCUCGGGAAUAUUAACUCCCUGGCAUCCAGCCCUCGCCCAGGGCGAAGCUCCUGUUCCCUUUUCUGACCCAAGGAAGCCUCGAGAUGAGAGUGAUAGGGGAUAACAGGCUCUCUGGGGCUGGGCACCAGCAGUGCCUGCCGUGUGGAAGAGGUUUCAUUUUCCUCGGAAGAUGCUGGAGCCCUAUCAGAGUCCCACUGUACUGAGGUGCAUUAGCUGCAACAGAGCCCUAGAUUUAUAGCAGCAGCCCCCAAAUAUGGUUGAUCAGAAUCCCUGGGGUAGCUUCACUCCCUAACUAUCUGAAGGACCUCAGAGUGGCACCCCAAAUCCAGCCCCAGCCUGCUUCCGGGUAGAUGUGACAGCUGAAUGGAAUCUGUUGACCCCGGGCCAACCUAGGAGGUGGUUGAUAAAGUACACGUCCUGCUUUUCUUUUGCCCUCAUCUUUUUUCUAGAAGUAACAGGCAGGGGAGAAAUGGUUUGUUGAUUCAAGACAUCUGCUGUUAUAAAAUUUAAAUAAAUAUCAUGCCCUUGGUAUUGCCUACACCAAAUAAUCAUUAUGUGCCAUAAAAAGAAGAAUCAGAUGGCUUGAACUUAUUGAGCGGGAGUGAAGGGGGACUAACAUACACAGGCCAAAGUGGAAAAUAAAGAGAUAAAAGACAUUGGUUAAAAUCCUGGAAUCCUAGAAGAAAUCUUAUAUUUUCUUAAAAGACCCCUGGGGUAGCUGAAGUCCCUAGGGAGGCAACAGCAGGUAAAAUGGCACCAAAGUGGGAAAGAACAGGGCAUAUUCCAGGAGGGCACCCGGUGUGGCUGAAGGACAAAAGGCACCCCUGCUGGCCAGCCCAAGAUCAACCACCAGGCCACACGCUGGUCCUAGGACUGUGUCUGUCCAGGGAAAGGGGCACCUUCCUGAGGCGCCAUCUAUAGGAAAGGUCCAAGUUCUUACAUCGCAGAGGGCGCCUUAUGGCCUGGUCCUGUGUUUCAAAAUCUGAAAGCCAGACAAGCAGCUAGGUCAUGAGGAGGGCUUGGUUUGGUGGGUAAGUCAGUGGUGCUGGACCACCCACCACCCAGAUCUGUGGGCUUUUGCAGGGGACCUGGACUUCCUUCUGGACGUGAUAGGCUUGAAUGAGGGUUUAAAGCAGGCAAGUGACAUGCUUUGAUUCAUGUUUUAAAAAGAUCAUAAGGCUUCAAUGUGAAGACUGAAUCACAGUGAGAAACAGUGAUGCAUGUCACCCCAUCCGGGUGAGAGGUGCUGGGGUUUGGGUUCAGGAUACAAGGUAACUAUGGAGAUGAAGAAGUGUACUUUGAUGGAAAAAUAGGACUUUCCAGACAUGCUGGUGAUAAAUAGGGGACAACGAGGACAAUUUUUUACUGUUGUAUAACUUUGUCCCCAACUUUGUAGGACCUUCCUCACUGACAGUACAUCCCAGCUAAAAGCCCUUGUUCCGCGUGCUGCCAGGUGACUCCACAGUAGCCUCUGUCCUCAGGGUGACAGACUGAAGAGGGAAACAAUAAUGGCAGGACACAAAAGAUACUGAAACCAAGACCCAGAGGUUUCACUAACUUGACCUAGGAACACAGAGCAGCACCAUGGUGGAGACCCAGGACCUCCAAUGGACGCAGAGACCUCCCCGGCAUGCCACGGUGCGGUGGGGCAGCUGGUGUUGUGAAUCAGGCCGUUGCAAUCCGAGAACGGCUACUUCACAACACCAGGGUCGCACCCCACCACA